RNAcentral lists this long non-coding RNA (909 nucleotides) under Prunus persica (peach). RNAcentral's name for it is "long non-coding RNA (PPER_LNC007953)". The record is from RNAcentral. Lineage: Eukaryota; Viridiplantae; Streptophyta; Magnoliopsida; Rosales; Rosaceae.
AAACUGCCCAUUCUAAUUAAAAACCCAGUUUUCUAGCAGCUAGACUUCUGCCAAAAAUUCGGUAGUAUCUCCCCUAUAAAUAGAACAUUUCCCAAAAGUUUUUCACCAGUAAAACAAGCAUAAAUAUACAUACAUAUAACCCAAUUGCCAGCAUGCACUAAAUUAUAUCCAAGAAAUCAACAGUAUAUCAUUCUGGCCUCAGGCCUCACCCAAUCAAAUAAAUCAUUUUGCUAAUAAAAUUCAUCUCAACUUUCAUAAUAUCAAUAAUACAUUAACAAUCUCAAAGCCUCCAACUCGUGGCUGCACCUGUAGUAUUAGGCUGCCUACGUACCCUUGCUAAGGGAUCAGGGAUCAAGUCACACGUAGUUCUUUCCUAUACUCAUGUCAGUCAUAUCCUGAAUAUAAAUACGCCAUACACUGAACUCCUUUUAGUAUAGUUUAAGAAUAUACCAGAACUAAAAUUCUCUUAUCCUAGGCAUACCCCCAUUCCUACUCCAUCAAUCCUAUCCUCGCAGGCCUCGGAGACACCACUUCUAUCCAAGCCGCAACCUCGCUCGCAGGUCUCAGAGAUACCACUUAUAUCCGAGCCACAAUCCUCCCUUGCAUAUCAAAAAGUCCCUAAAGGUUCUAAUAUGCCUACGACACAUGCCCUGUGAGUUUGGUCUCAAUCGGACAGUCAGAUUGAUCACGAUUGCACGAUCAGACGGUUACUAAAAAUCUAGCCCUAGGGUUGGCAUUUUCGGAGUAUCCGGAACUCCGAUUUACAAUCCGUCAAAUCCUACACGGUCUUGGAAUUAUCUAGAUCAACAUAUACGAGAAUAACUACAAUCCAAAGGUUCAAAUGUAUCGAACCCGGAAAUUGCACAAUAUGCGAGAUCCGUUCGGGGUUCAAACAUUAUCUGAAUUGAG